This 739-nucleotide long non-coding RNA is filed under the name Homo sapiens (human). Its description in RNAcentral is "PREDICTED lncRNA (TCONS_00194215)". Lineage: Eukaryota; Metazoa; Chordata; Mammalia; Primates; Hominidae. The record is from RNAcentral.
GAAUUGUGCACUUGGGGAGCUUGGCUCUUGAGACAGGAGUCUUGCUGAUGCUCCUGGCUGAAUAAACCCCUUCCUUCUUUAACUCGGUGUCUGAGGGUUUUUUUCUGAGGCUCUUCAUGCUACAUUUCUUGGUUCUCUGACUGGGAAGUGAGGUGAUUGGCGGAUGGUUAAGGCAGCUCCUUAGGUGGCUUAAGCUUGCCCUGUGGAACAACCCUGAGGGGGACUCUGACCAGCCCGAGCAAUGUGGAUCCUGAGAGGACUCCCGGGUAGGCAUUUGCCCUGGUGGGAUGCCUCGCCAGAGCAGUGUGUGGCAGGCCCCCGUGGAGGAUCAACACAGUGGCUGAACACCAGGAAGGAACUGGCACUUGGAGUCCGGACAUCUAAAACGUGUGAUUCUCCAAGGGCAAAUGAAUUUUGACCAGGAAGACAGUGAAGAAAUUUCAUAAAAGUGAAAUACUAAUUGGAAGCUCCUAUCGGCAUUGGUUGAUCUGACAAGUUGUGUGUAUAGAAACUAGCCUAUAUGGAGACACGAAUGUCAAAAGAAGUUUUACCGAUGAUAGAAAUAUGAGAGGAUCAUUAUGUAUUCUUCAAGAAAAAGAAAUAUGGCAAAGGAUAGUAAAGGUAAUACUGCCAAAAAUAUCCAGAUUGUAUUGAAGAAAAUUGUGAAAAAAAGGACCAGAGUCAAAGUUAUUUUUCUAGGUAAGUACACUUGUUAAAACAUAAUCAUGGCCGGGCAUGG